UGCACAUGAUGCCAUUCUCACGAUGGUCUUCCAAGCCUCGUGGUGAAGGGGCCGUGAGGACAAGGCCAAAAGGCUUUGCUGAUGCCUGGUA
Small nucleolar RNA from Chrysolophus pictus (golden pheasant), 91 nucleotides. The record is from Ensembl. Lineage: Eukaryota; Metazoa; Chordata; Aves; Galliformes; Phasianidae.